UGCUAUCUGAGCAAGUCUGAUAACCCGAGUUCAGUCCCCAGAACCCACGUAAAAAGCAAGGUGUAGAGGUAUGCAUCAGGAAAUCCAGCAUUCCGAAGGCAAUACAGGAGGCAAAAACAGGAGACAUGUCCUAGAAGCUUGUAUUGCAGGUCAGCUAAUCCGGAACAUGCCUGCAAGAGGCGAACAACCAGAGACAGCGUCUCAACAAAGCAGAAGCACUGCAAAGCAGAAGAGAACAAAAGCUCCUACAAAGAACCGAAGAAUGAGAAAACAAAACCUAAGCAGAACAAAAUACAGCCCGUGAGGGCUGACCUCUGCUCCUCCUGCGCCAGCCGCGGUGUCACACACAGUGGCAGACACUGCAUGCACCUUGUUUACUGUGAGAAGCAAGAACAGCAUCCCUGCUAACUGAGCUCAUGUCACAGAAGAGAACACACAGGAACCAACAAUAAAGCCACUACAAGAACGCACUUCUCUGAUCAACGAGAACAGAGUACUUCCUACCUUCCUAAAUGUAUUACUAUGCCUAAGGUUAAAAAAAAAAAAAAACCUUCAUAUAUUUGACUUAUCACUUUUUUUCCUUACUCAAAAUGUCCUUUGGUCUGAAAGUUUAAAACAAACAAAGAAACAAAAAACUUUCCUAGUAGAUACAUUGAGCUCAUAAAAAAACAAAAAAAUAGGAGAGAAAGAAAGAAAGCAAGAAAGCCACACAUUCUGAAUCUGUGUAGUCCAGGAGUUAAAUAAACAAACAAUGCUGUAACUGCUUCAUGGAGUGAAGGCUCAACUAGUACCCUGGGUUUUCCAACUGUUUUCCUGAUUCAGUUAUAAGAGAGUAACCACAUUAUUCAUACUGAACUACAAGUUCAAUGUUGGACACUAUACUAGAUGUGUAAAGAUACUAAUGCCUUCUCAUUCAUCAAACCAAAGACCAACUAACAGAAAACUAACACAUAGGAAUUCUAAAAGUAAUGGAGAGCGGAAACACACUUGUGAACUGGUCUAGAACUGGCAUUACACCACUUCUACCAUAACAAAGGUAAUGCCACCCUAACUUCCCGAUCAUUAGCUAUAAGGACCAUAAGUUUAAGAGUUUCUGUGUGCUCCAGUCAAUAUAGGACCAGACAUCCAAAUAUCCAUGUUCUUAGGUUUUAGAAUUAGAUCCAAUCAAACUUUCUGUAUAGCGUGAGCAGUUCUUCCAUAAUCUACAAUCUCUGACGACAAAAAAUAAUUACCUAAUGAAACCAAUCAUUCUAUUGGUACAGCUCUUCUCUGAAAUGUGGGACACAGCAUAUUCUGUUUCCCACGCUCAACUCUAACAGAACCACUUCCACCUUAGGAACUCAAGACAGUAGCAUGCCUUCACUUGUGUCUAUUUAACAGUGAAAACCCUCACUCUGACAAUCCCAGGAAUCCUUGCUAUGAUCAUCGGCUUAUUACCAUCUCAAUACACAGCAGUGCAGCAGCAGUCUAUAGACAAAGCUGUAACUCAACCCACGACAAGCCAGUAACUAGUCCUGUUGCUAAAGGUGGGCUUUGCAUCCUGUAGGUACAUGAUUCCCCGACUUUAAGUGGAGUAUAUUAUCUGCUUUACUUAUCUCCCCACUGAUGCUUCCAGCCUAUUAUGUGCUCUGACUCUCAAUUCUAUAUCCUAUCAUAUGGCACUAUCUUUCAGCCUUUUCUCAUUUGUUAAUUCAGUAAAUAGGGCCAUUCCUUCAGCCCUGUACUUAGAAAGCAAUGGGGGUUGGGGGGGGGGAGAGUUAUACCGUAUCAAGGAUAGAAUCUAAUAGCAAGACAGUAGACACUGCAAUAUGGUUGACAACCAAAGAAUUUUUCAUCCAAUCGUGUACCCAUCUAUGAGUCUUUGAGAAGUUACGACCAUAUUGAAAUUAAGAUAUAGUAUAAUUCUUUGUAUGGUGGAGCACGCCUGCAUUCCUAGCACUUGAGAUGAGAGGCAGGAGGAUCAAGAGUUUAAGGCUGGGUCUGGCAAUGGCUAAGCAAGUAUAGGUGAUGCCACCAAGCCCAAAGACCUGAGUUCUAUUCCUACGAACCAUAUGACAGGAGGAGAGAAGUGACUCCCACAAACUAUCCUCUUUCUCCACAUAUGCUAUGCUCCCGUUUCAUAAAUGGAACUUUUAAAUGUAAUUUUAAAAAGUUCAGUACCACCUUCCACUACACAGCCAGUUUCAGGACAGUCUGGGUUGGAUGAUGCUAUCUCCAAACUCAUAAAAUAAAGCAAAGACACCACUGACAUUAACUCCACGUGGAUGUUUGAAACCUCCAUAGUAAGCCCAAACUGUAAACUGGGGUGGCCACUUGAGACCGCUGUGUGAGACAAGUGCACAGGAUGAAGAAUGAAAACAAAGCAGCACGACCCUUUCUUUAAGAAUAUUAGCAAAGCAGAAACUCAUACUAAUACCAGGUUUUAAAAAUACCUUCAACAACUGGUAAGGCUCUACAUCUCAGCAAGAGAAACAUGGACUAUUUAAAGACAGGCUUCCUCAGUGGUCUUAUCCUUGCAGUCUCUUAUCACUUAUGUAUUUGUUCCCAAACAACUAAAGCUCAGUGAGGCAGACAGGAGGGAUACACUACCUACCCACAAAAUAAUAUUAUGUGCUUAAAUAUUAUGAAUACAAACUCAGCACAGAACACAUAUUAGCUAGAGUAAAUGUUUGCUUUUUCCUCCACAAGUACUACUUUUUAAAAAAUGUUCAUAUAUGAUGGACACAUAAAUGGAAUACUAGACCAGGGAGGCAGUGGGAGAAGGGUGAGGUCAGCCUGAGCUUUCUAAUGAGUUCAAGGCCAGUCAGGGUUACACAGCA
Molecule: non-coding RNA, 2819 nt
Organism: Myodes glareolus (Bank vole)
Lineage: Eukaryota; Metazoa; Chordata; Mammalia; Rodentia; Cricetidae
Source: RefSeq, a predicted model, not a curated record